UACGGAGGGUGCAAGCGUUAUCCGGAUUUACUGGGUUUAAAGGGUGCGCAGGCGGAUAUGUAAGUCAGUGGUGAAAUCUCUAGGCUUAACCUGGAAAUUGCCGUUGAUACUAUAUAUCCUGAAUGCUGUGGAGGUAAGCGGAAUAUGUCAUGUAGCGGUGAAAUGCUUAGAUAUGACAUAGAACACCUAUUGCGAAGGCAGCUUACUACGCAGAUAUUGACGCUCAUGCACGAAAGCGUGGGGAUCAAACAGG
This 253-nucleotide ribosomal RNA is filed under the name uncultured bacterium. Its description in RNAcentral is "partial 16S ribosomal RNA". It matches the Rfam family "Bacterial small subunit ribosomal RNA", at positions 524 to 776 of the family's 1533-position model. The record is from RNAcentral.